This is a non-coding RNA of Camellia sinensis, 1119 nucleotides long. The record is from RefSeq and is a predicted model, not a curated record. NCBI's taxonomy places the organism in Eukaryota, Viridiplantae, Streptophyta, Magnoliopsida, Ericales, Theaceae.
CGUGUGUGUUUUUGUUAUGUUGUUUGUUAUCAAAUAUCUAGAAAGUUCUACUUAUUCCAAAAUAUAUAUAUAUAUAUAAUAAUUGAAACAAGAGACAAGAGAAAAGAGUGAGACCCCUACUGCCAAUUCCAUUACAUGCUUAUGAUAUAUUUUGUUGUCUCUUCAAGAAAAUAUUUUGCUUUACACAUAUGGAUCCUGACACAUGUUUUGUUUUUGUUUUUGUUUUGUCUCUUGAAAUCUGACAGUAGGUAAUUGGUGUGGAUGAUGUGGUCUUAAGAGUGGCUUGUAUUUGCUGUAACUGGGAUGCAUUAUCUCUAAUGUUCUGGUGAGUGUGCAGGGCCUUGGAGGUGUAUGCUGGUCUCCUUUUUAGGGAAGUGGGUUAAGUGAAGUGACUACAUCAAUAGGUGCUAGUCUCCUUUUUAUUAUUUAUUUUUUUGCUAACUUUUGUUAAUGCAGGUUUUUCAAAGCUGGUACACAGUGUAGAGAUGUGUGGGUUGAGGGAUGGAUCAAUUAAGUGAGGCUUUGGAGCAAGCUGUCCAUCUGUUAUAGAACAAUUUUGAGUAGUUAUGCUGCUCAGUUAUACAUUGGUUGAGCUACCUACUGCUACAACCUGUGUAUAUGCUGCUGCUGUGUUUAGGCUGGGCAGGUUGGGCUUUCAUAGGGCUUACCAAUGCCACCAAAACGAUUGGCGCAGUCAUCUCUUCAACCUUCGCAUGAGGCAAUUUUUGUUUGGAAUGAGGAUUUACAUGACAAUGUGGAGACCCAACACUCACAGCCACUUGAUGUCGAUAUAGAGGCACAGAGGGAGGCAGCCCCCCAAUCUAGUGUCGAUUGGAGAUGAACGAAUUUGGUAACCUGCAUAGCAAGAACUUUUUGUUGAAAUUACUAGACACGUAUCCAUCAUAGUGCCAUUGUACUUUUUGUUGAUAUUACCAAACAUGUAUUUUGACUAUGUUGUCACGGGUUGUGAUUAUAUUGUGAUGGAUCUUAUCUUUUUGUUGAUACUAUCAAACAUAUAUUUUGACUAUGUUGUCGCUUUAUGCAAAUGAACAGGUUUUUGUAAUGAUCUGUAAUGGAUAUUAUAUUGAACAGAAUAUUAAAAUGCAUAAGUUAUUUUGA